AUGCUCUUUGCGGAUGAUGUGGUGCUAGUUGACGAUAGUCGGACGGGGGUAAAUAGGAAGUUAGAGUUAUGGAGACAAACCUUGGAAUCGAAAGGGUUUAGGCUUAGUAGAAGUAAAACCGAGUACAUGAUGUGCGGUUUCAAUACUACUAGGUGUGAGGAGGAGGAGGUUAGCCUUGAUGGGCAGGUGGUACCUCAGAAGGACACCUUUCGAUAUUUGGGGUCAAUGCUGCAGGAGGAUGGGGGUAUUGAUGAAGAUGUGAACCAUCGAAUCAAAGCCGGAUGGAUGAAGUGGCGCCAAGCUUCGGGCAUUCUCUGUGACAAGAGAGUGCCACAAAAGCUAAAAGGCAAGUUCUACAGGACGGCGGUUCGACCUGCAAUAUUGUAUGGCGCUGAGUGUUGGCCGACUAAAAGGCGACAUGUUCAACAUCAGGUAUGGCGGAGAUGCGUAUAUUGA
RNAcentral lists this ribosomal RNA (456 nucleotides) under Triticum aestivum (bread wheat). RNAcentral's name for it is "partial small subunit ribosomal RNA". Lineage: Eukaryota; Viridiplantae; Streptophyta; Magnoliopsida; Poales; Poaceae. The record is from RNAcentral.